GGCUGAUUAGCUCAAUUGGUUAGAGUGCCUCAUUCACAUUGAGGAGGUUGAGGGUUCGAGUCCUUCAUCAGCCA
RNAcentral lists this transfer RNA (74 nucleotides) under bacterium. RNAcentral describes it as "tRNA-Val". It matches the Rfam family "tRNA". Rfam says of the family: Transfer RNA (tRNA) molecules are approximately 80 nucleotides in length. Their secondary structure includes four short double-helical elements and three loops (D, anti-codon, and T loops). The record is from RNAcentral.